AUCGGGCCGCUUGGUUCGGCUUCCCCCUCUCUUCCCAUUCACGUGCGUCUCCGUGAGCUCAUCGAGUCGCUGCCGAUUUCCACCUUCAAGCCCCAAACACCUGGGAAUCGACACCUGGGUGUCUGCCCUUCCUGCCUUUCAGAUCUCGUCUUUUCUGGGUAAAUACUUAGGUAAAAAAGCAUGCUGCAGACACAGCCGAUGGAGAGAUGCGGCGCUGAACACUCUUCAUAACCAGGCUGUGCUCGGCUUUGCGGGCGGCAGGGCGGCAGCAGCCCUGCUCUGUGUUUAAGCUGUUGCUGUUGGGUCCUAAUUUUCUUUUUUUCUGCAAAUUUAUGCGCUAGAUGACAAACAAGCCCUGCAAUAGGAAAUCUUCCAGAUGCGUGGGUUCUUUUCCAGAGGAAAAUCAUAUUAGAGGUUAAGUGAUGAUGCUCCGCUAUAAAAGUGUCUGGUGGAGGGAAGGGACCGAUUCUUCCUCCUUCCUCCCCAACUCCUCCUUCCACUUCUUCCUUCGGUAAAUUUCCCUUCAAUUGCACAGUGCUUGUCCAAGGCUGCUGCCUCCGGGCAUCUCGUUUUACCCAUUUUUCCACGUUUCUUAUACCCCCCCAAAACCUGGGCACGAUCUUUCAGCCCAGAGGGACCGAACGAUGUUCUCGCUGCCACCCACUUCUCCUCCGCGCGAGGGGCAGCCUCCCCUCCCAAAGGAUGCGAUGCGAGCCGAGCCCUGGCGUAGUAAAAUCUAUUUCUGCUCUCCAAAAGCGACUCUGGUUACUCUUGGCUGACCCAGUUAUUUCACGGAGCAGGAAGCGGCCGGCUGGAAGCGAGCUGUUACGACAUGGCCCCCUUGCAUCCGCGGCUAAGCCGAUAUAUAUAGCUGACGAUGGAGCUUGAUAGGGCUCUCCGCUGUUCCCUUCCUGUUUUGUUUUUGGGGGUUUCCUUUUGAUAAAUAUUGGGAAAAUUCUCCUUAAAAUAGAAAAGCCUUAGACAGCGUGAUUUCCGAGUGGAUUUAGCGUCCUCCCCCGUCUUCCAUUGCCAUUUUCAGUACCUUGAAGACAGAGGAGUCACAAGCGUCUGCUUUGCUGCUGCUGAAUCUUUAUAGCAGUGAGUCACGUCAGGAAAUUCUGAUAGAGUUAAUCACGUAACGAGAGAGCUUGCACUGCCGCCGCAGAGCAGUCAGAACCUUAAAUGGGCCUGCAGCAGCUAUUUAUUUAACUCCAGGACUCUCAGCGUAUUUAUGAGCAAACCGACAGGAUAAUGCUAAUAUUUAAAGAUGUGCAAGGGGGUGGAAAGCUGCUCGGAGGGCUGCAGCUGGGCAGUGAUAAGAGCUCUUUGCAGCAGGCAGGAGCGGCACAUCUGUCGCAGGCGUUUCUGACUUUUCUGCUGUGGCAUCCGAAGCGCUGGGCUAAACGUGCCUGGUGGGGGGGAAGGAGCAAAAGGAGGAUUUGGCUGGAAACCCCGUUCUUCCUUCCAUGCCUUACACCAGCCCAAGCCGUUUGACGAUGGAUGGAGACUACGAGGCUGAAUACAGCAAUUAAAUCUUGUUUAGCCCUUCUCGUGGUGUUUACUGGAAGCCAGAUGUUCGGCAGAGCUGCAGGGAAAACGGCCACAUUCGGCAUGGGGAAACGGGGCUGGGACUGGAGGCUCUUCCCUGCUCCAUGGAGCCCGUGGGCAGCUGUUCUCUUGGAUCCUGAGGGCUGCACGUUGGGAUGUAGAGAUGUCUGAGCUCUGCCGUUGCUCUGCGGGGAGAAAGCCUGGUCUGGAGGAUGCUGCAGCCGGGGAGCAUCCUCUGGCUGGAGCGGGGUGGCCCGAGAAAUGAUAUUUCUUCUGCAGAGGUGUGGCACAUGCAGUGCUGCAGCCCUACGUGAAGGUUUUGCAACAGCAUUGGUUCUGCAAUUUGUGUAAAAUGAGGGAGGGAUGGGGAAGGAGGGAGGCAGCCCAGAGUUUCUGCCUGCUGUGAAAGGCUCUUCGGUCUUGGAAGUGGCUUUUCGCCAAGUGGUGCCUGAGACUUUGUAUUUCUGUCAGGGGCUGAAUUUCCUGCAAAAGGGGAACGGGGAAUUCACGUUAGAGCAAUAGCAGAUGAGGAAUGCUGUUUGAGCUCUGUGGAGGGAAAUUGCGAGUCAGAGCAUCCUCUGACGGGACCGCAUUACCAAACCAGGGCGGCUCUGCUGCCCUCAGACCUGCUUCUUUUUGGACCUGCCGGCGAGGUUGCUGCCGUUCUGCAUCUCUCUUAAUUAAAACGAGGGCAUUGUUGCAAUCCAGCCUUGACAGGUUUCCGUCCCCGGCAGGGCUGUAGCAGAGGCUGUCGUCUCCUUGAGCACAGCAGCCAGGCAUGUCAUGUCACCCUUGGGAUUUCUUCCUAAAGUCUGUAAUCUUGUGCAGAUGGAAAUUAUUGCGGAGAGCAGCCCUCGCCGCUGCUGUGUCGGGGCUCUCCUGGGGCAGCCCAGAGGUGGAUGUGGGAAGAUGCUGGAGCCUCUCGCACAACCCCCCCAGUGUUUAUGGAGGUCGUGUGAAGCCGGAAAAGGCUCCCCCAUUCCCAAUGGCUGGGCUGCAGCCCCUCAAUUCCCACAGCAGCCGGUGGGGAGGGUCAGCCUGUGGGGCAGGGGGCGAUGGAGGAUGGAGGCAGGAGAAGCAGAGCGGGGCGGAGGAUGGAGCGGGCAGCCCUGGCCCAAAGGCUGGCCCUGGCUGCAUGCCCGGGCAGUGGGAGGGCAAGCUUUGAUCUGCUAUUAAAGACCACAGAAAGAGAAAGUAAAACUUCCCUUUUUUUGUUCAGGGACUGCCAGAGGUGCCGCAGGGACGAGCAGGGUGCUGCAGGCUGGGGACGUGGUGCUGCUUACGGGUGUCCCACGUGUCCCCCUCCUGUUUGUCCUGCUUGGGAGAUUUUCCUGCCCGGCAGACAGCUUGUCAAAUAUACAAAUGCGAUUUGACGUGGCUGCAGUUCAGCACUUGAUUGGUGUGGGUGGGAAUAUCUCCACCGGAGGUCUGGGGAGAUGGGGGAUGCGGCUGAACGCACAGAGCUGGCUGUGCCAGCGUGUAACGCACAGCCGUGUCACGGCUCCUGCUGACUGAUCAUCCUGCAGAACUACACGCAGAGAAAUCCUCCCCUCCUCCCCAGCUUCGUGUGAUUGCAGGGCAGAGGAUGCUUUGCGUCUGCUCCUGCCAUCGCGCUGCUUCCUUGCAGGCUCCCCUUGCUGCUGCUGCAGCUCCCUGUAGGUUUUUUUCCAUGUACCCUGGGAGCAGCGAUGGACUCCAGGCAGGAUACGCUGCUGCUGGCAGGGCACGUGGGAGAGGAAAAGCAAACAGAGCCCUAAGUGUGAAGGUUUUUUUCCCAUGCUUUUGCGUUUCCUGCCCCAGCAGCGCUGCUUCUCUCAGGGAAGUAGCGUGUGUCCUGGGAGCCCCAGGAUGAGGGAAAGUUGCUGCGUGCCGAGAUGGUGGCGGCUGGUGCUGGUGGGAGCGCUGGGAGGAGGACGGGUGCCCGAGCCGGGAGGAUGCUGCCCUGGGAGGAAGGGCUGCUCCGUACGGAUCUCCAAAACACGUUACUGCUCCCUCCCUUGUCCCCCCUGAGGCUGUGCAGGACCCAAAGAAGUUCCUUCAGGUCGUCUUUCCCUGCUGAGGCAUCUCCCCCAGCUCCUCCGUCCUCAUCCUCGGGGAGCUUCGUGAGAAUUAACCGCCUGGUUUGGAAACCAAGUCCAUGGAGCACCUGUGUUAAGCAGCAGCAGUUCCCCUGCCUGCACCCAUUCUGGGUCCGAUCCUCAGGGACACCAAAAAGUCAGAAGCCCUCUUGCUCCGGGAAGGGUCACCCAGUCGCGGGGAGCUCAUGGGGCCGAGGAUGGGGCUGGGCAGUCCCCGCUUCUUCCCCUCAACUCUCCCUGCCCCAAAAUAGCAGAAGAACGUGACUGACGGGAAGGCGAUAGCUGAUCCUCCUCGCUUCUCCUCCAGCCACCGAGUGCAACCCGAGACGAGGUGGCGGUGGCAUUUGGGAGCUGCGUGAUGCAAGCCCGAGCGAGGCGACACCGUCCGGCAGUCUAGACGCUGAAUAUGACCCUACCUUUUUUUUUUUUUUUCUUCCCUCUCUUUAUAAAUGGUCUCUCCUCCAGUACAGAAUGUCCUCUGCCUUCUGAAGUAUUUGUAAUAUUUCCACGCCCUCAGUUGCCAAAAAAACUUCUAUAAAAAGCUGCUAUUUCUGCAAAACUGAAACCCGCUGGUACUCCUAGAUGCACAGCAUUCCCAGGGCUUCGCCCGGCUUCGUUAGCACACCGAGCAGCAGCCCGGCAUGGCUGGGUGCAGCUGGAGUUAAAUGCAGAAAGGCCUUGGAGCAGAGCACGGGACAUGGGGACAGUCACUCCUCGCCCUUGUAAAAUUGCACCCCAUUGCAAAUUGUGAGGGUGCAGCCCCGUUCUCCCCCCAUGGCAGGACGUGCCCUGCUGCCACCCACUCUGCCUCUUGCCAUUUGCACCACGAAAUAUUCCUUUAGGUUCCUCUUUGCUGGAAGAGUGCCUUCAAUCUCCUCUUUAAACCUUUUUAUCUUCCCUCACGCCCCGCCGCAAAACAAAACAGUGCUUCUCCUAAAAUAUUGGGGCUGAAGUGGGGUCCUGGUAAAUGCAUGUGAGCGUUUGAGGGGUGGCACCAGCUCUCCCCUGGUGCGGUCUGGGGAUGCUCAGCAGCACCACGAGGAUGCUUGGAGGCAUCACGCACGUCCCAGCGCAGAGACAGAGCCGGCCAAGCACCGAGGCAGGGUUUGCUGCCUUCUGCUACCACGAGCAGAGGUUUGGCAGUAGCGCAGCUAUUUCUAAAUAUGUCUAGGGGAUGGGUGUGGAAGGAAAUCUUACCAUUUAGAGAGUCUGCCAAAUUGCAAUGUACUCAGCUUUUUAAAUUGGGAGGCCCGAGUGUGCCGCUGCCAACUUCUUCAUUUCGCUCUUUUCCUCUUUUAUUGCUUUCCUAUACUCAUCCACAGCUGUUGUGUAGGAUCCAGACGAACACCAGAAACUGGACUGUAAGAGAAAUAACGAGAUGGAAUCGCAAAGUGACUGAAAUGGAAAAAAGUAUUCCCCUUUCCUCCCCCCUUCGCCGUCCCCAUUCUGCCUGUCGAGUAACAUCACUUCGUAUGUCACUGCGUGAGUCAGUGAAUUUUUUCAUCCUUACUCGUCUGUUGACAGAGACCCUUUAAAUAGCCUUCCAUCCUGAAGACAUUAGGAGAUGCUUGCAGACCUGGUCCCGCCACCUUCCCUAGGAUUAUUCUCCCUCUGAUGGCUCUUUAUGGCCCGAUGCAGAGGCUAUAAAUGGAUUUAUUCUCUUGUUUGUGGCACUUAAUCUAAUGAGUUUAAUUCGACUUCAGCUGCAGUUCAGAAACUUCAGGGAAAGGCUCGAAGUGCCGUCUGGGCUCUAAAAGGCAUCUGGUUAACCGGAGCCUGGGGAUUCCGUCCCACUCAUGGAAAAAAACAUCAAAACAUUCAGCGUUUGGCUCCUCCUGUCUCUCCGACGGCCCUUUUUAUUAGCCUUGUGCUAACGGUUGGCUCCGUCGCUGCUCUGUGCUUCCUCCUCCUCCUCCCCUUGGGUCCCCCCGACCGAUGCCGCCUGAUUUUGGCUCCGGAUACCGCUCACACAGCAUCUGCAAGAAGUGCCCUCAACUCUGCAAACCCAUCUGACAGCUUCAGAGACCAUUUUUCGGGUGGCUUUACAGAUCGCUGCCCCGGCAGUGAGUCGCUAAUCCAGUGGGCGCUUGGGUUUUCCGUAGGGAAUUUGGGAAGGCAAAGCCCGUGCCAGGGUCAGCCCCGGUUUGGACAGUGCCCGUGACACUUGUCGGGCAUCUCAGGAGGCUUCGCAGGAUGUCCUGACAGAGCUGCUUGCCUGGGGCAGCAGGCGCAGAACUUGGCUUUUACCCAAAUAAAUAUUUAAGCAGCCGGGCAGCUGAAGAACCCAUAAUAAAAUGUUCUGAAUGCGCGUGGGUAUACAAACCCAGCAAACUGCUGAGGACCUGCUCCGCCGUCAGCUGGGGUACCGCCUCCGGUACAACUGGGCUCUUAUCUCCAGGCGUUCCCAAAGCUAUGUGCUUUUUUUUUUUUUUUUUUUUUGCCUUAGGUUUGUUUUGCAGACUUUAUCUUGAAUGAGUUUAUGUUAAAGAUAAGGCAGUGAUACCUAGGUCUGUCAGCUUACGCCUCGAAACAGGAUUUGCUGAUU
This is a long non-coding RNA of Cygnus olor (mute swan), 6171 nucleotides long. RefSeq lists it as uncharacterized. The transcript has 2 exons. The record is from RefSeq and is a predicted model, not a curated record. NCBI's taxonomy places the organism in Eukaryota, Metazoa, Chordata, Aves, Anseriformes, Anatidae.